CGCGGUCCCCAGUGAGAGGCGACCAAGGGGCAGGCGAGGGUUCGCAGAGAUGCACGUGAUACCUGCUGAACACAUUACUCGGUAAUGACGUCAUUCAAAGCCCUAAAUAUUUAAUAAACUUGUUUCUCCCCCCCGCUACCUAAAAACAUACUUCCCACGAAUGUGGCUGCUUCGAGACGGCUGUGUCAGCACGACAGAGGCCGGCUCACACCGAUGCCUCCAUCCUCCCGCUGCCCGGGUCAGCUCGAGACGCCCCAUCACCUAAUUAGCAGCCCUCAGCAGGAGCUUAAGCAGGACAGACGGGACGAUCUCACGCGACAGGAAGUCUGCAGCCUCAUGAGAUGCGACAAAAUGAACUCGUCCUGUUUCCCGCUAUCCCUGGAAACUAUGCAGUGGGGACGACAGCUCCCUCCUCCUCGACGGAAACUCUGCAGACCUCUGAGUCUUGUCCUUGUCCUUAGGGAACAGUCUAAAGUCUCCUGCAACAGCAGACAGCAUGACAGUUUGGGGAGUUAAAAUGAUCCAAGACUAGGAGUUCCCUGGUGGCUCAUCAAGCUCAGUAGUCUAUUACCAGGCGUGGAAAGCAGCUGAACUGUUUCUCCAGGCUGAGCUGGCUUCGUGGCUUCGUGACUCUCCUGGCAUGAUAAAGUCAAAGCUGGUAAUUUUUUUUUUUUUUUUUUUUUUUUUUUUUUGUCUUUUUAGGACUGCACCCACAGCAUAUGGAAGUUCCCAGGCUAGGGGUUGAAUUAGAGCUGUAGCCACUGGCCUACACCACAGCCACACCGGAUCCUUAACUGACAGAGUGAGGCCAGGGUUGGAACCUACAUCCUCAUGGACACUAGUCAGAUUCGUUUCUGCUGAGCCACGAUGGGAACUCCCAAAGCUGGUCAUUUACAAUAGUAAAAAAUUAGAAAUGUCCAACCACGGGAGAGUCAACAAAUGAAACAUGCAUGUGAUGG
RNAcentral lists this long non-coding RNA (959 nucleotides) under Sus scrofa (pig). RNAcentral's name for it is "lncRNA (ENSSSCG00070001339.1)". Lineage: Eukaryota; Metazoa; Chordata; Mammalia; Artiodactyla; Suidae. The record is from RNAcentral.